This 371-nucleotide unclassified non-coding RNA is filed under the name Hevea brasiliensis (rubber tree). Lineage: Eukaryota; Viridiplantae; Streptophyta; Magnoliopsida; Malpighiales; Euphorbiaceae. The record is from RNAcentral.
UGUUGCAAUUGUUGAUGAUGGAAAUUUGCAAGCUGAGUCUGAUUCUGGAUCAUUCUGGGUUUUGUUUGGUGGAUUUGCUCCAAUUAGCAAAAAGGUUAUUACUGAAGAUGAUAUUGUUCCCGAGAAGACACCUCCUAAACUUAGCAGCAUCACUGAUGGUCAAGUCAGUCCUGUAGAUGGUGAACUUUCAAAGUCUAGCUUGGAAAACAAUAAAUGCUAUCUUUUGGAUUGCGGUGCUGAGGUGUUUGUUUGGAUUGGUCGUGUAACUCAACUGGAGGAGAGGAAAGCUGCCAUUCAAACUGCAGAGGAAUAUCUUGUCUCUGAAAAUAGACCCAAGGCAACGCGUGUAACCCGGGUUAUUCAAGGUUAUG